This 429-nucleotide ribosomal RNA is filed under the name Bacteroidota bacterium. RNAcentral describes it as "Bacteroidetes bacterium partial 16S ribosomal RNA". It matches the Rfam family "Bacterial small subunit ribosomal RNA", at positions 355 to 776 of the family's 1533-position model. Lineage: Bacteria; Pseudomonadati; Bacteroidota. The record is from RNAcentral.
UAGGUAAUCUUCCGCAAUGGACGCAAGUCUGACGGAGCAACGCCGCGUGAGUGAAGAAGGAUUUCGGUUCGUAAAACUCUGUUGUUAGAGAAGAACAGCGCAUAGAGUAACUGUUAUGCGUGUGACGGUAUCUAACCAGAAAGCCACGGCUAACUACGUGCCAGCAGCCGCGGUAAUACGUAGGUGGCAAGCGUUGUCCGGAUUUAUUGGGCGUAAAGCGAGCGCAGGCGGUCAAUUAAGUCUGAUGUGAAAGCCCCCGGCUCAACCGGGGAGGGUCAUUGGAAACUGGUUGACUUGAGUGCAGAAGAGGAGAGUGGAAUUCCAUGUGUAGCGGUGAAAUGCGUAGAUAUAUGGAGGAACACCAGUGGCGAAGGCGACUCUCUGGUCUGUAACUGACGCUGAGGUUCGAAAGCGUGGGUAGCAAACAGG